AGAAUCAACGCUGGCGGCGUGCCUAACACAUGCAAGUCGAACGAGAAAGUGGAGCAAUCCACGAGUAAAGUGGCGCACGGGUGAGUAACACGUGACUAACCUACCCUUGAGUGGGGGAUAACCUAGGGAAACCUGGGCUAAUACCGCAUAAUACCUUCGGGUCAAAGGAGCAAUUCGCUUAAGGAGGGGUCGCGGCCGAUUAGUUAGUUGGCGGGGUAAUGGCCCACCAAGACUGUGAUCAGUAU
Molecule: ribosomal RNA, 245 nt
Filed under: uncultured bacterium
Lineage: Bacteria
Description: partial small subunit ribosomal RNA
Rfam family: Bacterial small subunit ribosomal RNA
Source: RNAcentral